UAUACCCUACGGGAGGCAGCAGUGGGGAAUAUUGCGCAAUGGGGGCAACCCUGACGCAGCAACGCCGCGUGAUUGAAGAAGGCCUUCGGGUUGUAAAGAUCUUUAAACAGGGACGAAGAAGUGACGGUACCUGAAGAAUAAGCUCCGGCUAACUACGUGCCAGCAGCCGCGGUAAUACGUAGGGAGCAAGCGUUAUCCGGAUUUACUGGGUGUAAAGGGCGUGUAGGCGGGCCUGUAAGUCAGAAGUGAAAUCUGGGGGCUUAACCCCCAAACUGCUUUUGAAACUGCGGGGC
Molecule: ribosomal RNA, 293 nt
Filed under: uncultured bacterium
Lineage: Bacteria
Description: partial 16S ribosomal RNA
Rfam family: Bacterial small subunit ribosomal RNA
Source: RNAcentral